Molecule: ribosomal RNA, 931 nt
Filed under: Antrodia favescens
Lineage: Eukaryota; Fungi; Basidiomycota; Agaricomycetes; Polyporales; Fomitopsidaceae
Description: LSU rRNA
Rfam family: Eukaryotic large subunit ribosomal RNA
Source: RNAcentral
AGCAUAUCAAUAAGCGGAGGAAAAGAAACUAACAAGGAUUCCCCUAGUAACUGCGAGUGAAGCGGGAAAAGCUCAAAUUUAAAAUCUGGCGGUCUUUGGCCGUUCGAGUUGUAGUCUGGAGAAGUGCUUUCCGCGCUGGACCGUGUACAAGUCUCUUGGAACAGAGCGUCAUAGAGGGUGAGAAUCCCGUCUUUGACACGGACUACCAGUGCUUUGUGAUGCGCUCUCAAAGAGUCGAGUUGUUUGGGAAUGCAGCUCAAAAUGGGUGGUAAAUUCCAUCUAAAGCUAAAUAUUGGCGAGAGACCGAUAGCGAACAAGUACCGUGAGGGAAAGAUGAAAAGCACUUUGGAAAGAGAGUUAAACAGUACGUGAAAUUGCUGAAAGGGAAACGCUUGAAGUCAGUCGCGUUGGCCAGGACUCAGCCUUGCUUUAGCUUGGUGCAUUUUCUGGUUGACGGGCCAGCAUCGAUUUUGGUCGUCGGAUAAAGGCUGGGGGAAUGUGGCAUCUUCGGAUGUGUUAUAGCCCUCAGUCACAUACGACGGCUGGGAUCGAGGACCGCAGCACGCCUUUAUGGCCGGGGCUCGCCCACGUUCGUGCUUAGGAUGCUGGCAUAAUGGCUUUAAACGACCCGUCUUGAAACACGGACCAAGGAGUCUAACAUGCCUGCGAGUGUUUGGGUGGAAAACCCGAGCGCGUAAUGAAAGUGAAAGUUGAGAUCCUUGUCAUGGGGAGCAUCGACGCCCGGACCUGACCUUCUGUGAUGGAUCUGCGGUAGAGCAUGUAUGUUGGGACCCGAAAGAUGGUGAACUAUGCCUGAAUAGGGUGAAGCCAGAGGAAACUCUGGUGGAGGCUCGUAGCGAUUCUGACGUGCAAAUCGAUCGUCAAAUUUGGGUAUAGGGGCGAAAGACUAAUCGAACCAUCUAGUAGCUGG